This is a non-coding RNA of Hydra vulgaris (swiftwater hydra), 245 nucleotides long. The record is from RefSeq and is a predicted model, not a curated record. Lineage: Eukaryota; Metazoa; Cnidaria; Hydrozoa; Anthoathecata; Hydridae.
AAAUAUUUAGUCAACAAAUAUUUAUUAAAAUGGUAAAAUGCCUCGUAUGUUCUGGGGACGCUUUCCUAUCUGGAACCAUAUGUGCUUUGUGUAACAAAAUAAUAGACAUCCAAUGCCAUGGAGGAACAAUUGGGGAUGGCUAUGUUGUGUGUAAAGUAUGUGCAGGUUGUUGCAAAGUUUCCCCAACAAAAAAAGACUAUAUAAUUGGUAGAGGUUUACAGUUACAGGCACAAUUUAUUUUAUUC